This is a long non-coding RNA of Solenopsis invicta (red fire ant), 338 nucleotides long. RefSeq lists it as uncharacterized. The transcript has 2 exons. Lineage: Eukaryota; Metazoa; Arthropoda; Insecta; Hymenoptera; Formicidae. The record is from RefSeq and is a predicted model, not a curated record.
AUAUCUGUUCGUACCGGCAGCACCAGUUCCCUUCUCAUUUCAAGUUUGACCGUUGUACAGACAAGACGUUCUCGAUUUGUCUCAAUUUCAAUUACUUAUUUAUUUACGCCUUUUGACAUGUGGUUAUUUGCGCUGACAAAAUUCUUUUGUACAUGGACAACUACUGACGUUGAGUCCGAAUCAUGUUCCGAUUUUCGAGCCUAACAACUCGUAUAAGCGUUACAUCUUCCGGAUGAGGAAGCCCUUCACCUCAACCUCAGCUGCGCCUUCGAAUUGUUACUGAAGAUGGCUCGAAGAAUGAGCCGAAACGUUUAAUAAUAAAUUAUGUAUAUCUGAAA